Molecule: long non-coding RNA, 535 nt
Filed under: Struthio camelus australis
Lineage: Eukaryota; Metazoa; Chordata; Aves; Struthioniformes; Struthionidae
Description: lncRNA (ENSSCUG00000001877.1)
Source: RNAcentral
UGGUAAAUCUGUUCUUUAUCUGUAUCCCCCCCCCCUUUCUUAAAUUAGAGUGGGUCUGGAGCCCUUCACCUGUACUAUCGCUUGCCACUGACUGUCAGGACCCAGAAGCUAAAGAGGGAAGGGGAUUUCUUUUCCCUCGAUGCUUGGAUGAGAGCCCUCCAAGAGGAAACAAGGCAGCGUUGGUGACACAGAUGGUGUCGGUUUCAUCGAAACCCCACGUUGCCGAAGGUUUUACCACAGUGACCUCCUACACAUUGCAAACUGCUGAGCAUCACCCCAGUUCUCGCUGGGAAGAACCUGAAGGGAUGGACAGCGUUCAGCUCUGUUGUCUUUCAGGUAAGCAAAUUUAAACAUGCAACUUUUUCUGACAGUUGCAAUUAUUAUUCUUUUAACGGCACUACAAAAGGGAAAAAAAGAGAUUUAUCACCUAAGAUUAUUUUGAGGGAAGAGAGAGGAGGGUAGGGGAACUCUAGAAUGUUUUAUUUAUGGGAAAACUGCAAAUUACCUUAAUAAAUUCCUUUACUAAGCUGUGUCA